RNAcentral lists this ribosomal RNA (233 nucleotides) under uncultured bacterium. RNAcentral's name for it is "partial 16S ribosomal RNA". It matches the Rfam family "Bacterial small subunit ribosomal RNA", at positions 15 to 240 of the family's 1533-position model. The record is from RNAcentral.
GAUCAUGGCUCAGGAUGAACGCUAGCUACAGGCUUAACACAUGCAAGUCGAGGGGCAGCAUGAACUUUGCUUGCUAAGUUUGAUGGCGACCGGCGCACGGGUGAGUAACACGUAUCCAACCUGCCGAUGACUCGGGGAUAGCCUUUCGAAAGAAAGAUUAAUACCCGAUGGCAUAGUUCUUCCGCAUGGUGGAACUAUUGAAGAAUUUCGGUCAUCGAUGGGGAUGCGUUCCA